This 2368-nucleotide long non-coding RNA is filed under the name Acyrthosiphon pisum (pea aphid). RNAcentral's name for it is "uncharacterized LOC115033621". The record is from RNAcentral. Lineage: Eukaryota; Metazoa; Arthropoda; Insecta; Hemiptera; Aphididae.
UGUACAUUACUACCAAUACAAUACCUAUAUAAUUAAUUAACUUAUAAACCUAUUUAAACCUUAUUCGCACAAAGCUCCAAACGGUAGUUUUGUUAGAAUAAACCCUUGCCCAAACGGUAUAUAUUAUCUAUUCGCCCAAACAGACAAUAAUUUGGGUCGAUUCGCCCAAACGGUCUACUCUCAUUUGCAUUCCUCUAUCCCCCUAGAACUUUUCAGUUUAAUGAAUGUAAGACAUAUGUGUUCAUAGCAACAUAUAAUAUUAAUUUUUUAUUCUUUCGUUUCUUCAUUCUUCAAAGAGAAUAAUAGUUAUCAAUUACACAUUUUUAGUUUCUAAGGUAGCAUUAUUGGUUUAACAAUAAUGUGUGUGAUUUUUGUCUCUGUUAUCACCUUUUGCCUUAAGGAAGAGGAAAAAUGCAACUAUCAACAUUGGGGAUGGUUUCUGAUUUGAAUUUUGAUAUAGUCGGGAAUCAAAAGUUCAAAAGUAAACUUUAAAAAACAAUCCAGAAAACGGGGGUGAUUUAAAAAUAACAAAUCAUCAGUUUUAUAAAAGAGUAUGUUUUAGAUGUACCUACACAAAGAGACAUGACGUACAUUUCAAAAUGUUUUUGGUCUUAUUGAACUGUUAAAACAUUUAUAAUCAUAUGAUUUAAAGUCAAAAACCUUAAAAAUGUAAUACUAGAUUCCACAUAAGUAUUGUUUCAUAGCAAUAAUACGCAUAAUCACAUUAUUUUUUAAAUAAGCGUUGAAAGUUCAAAUCUUACAACAUUUGUAAGUAGUGAAAAAAUGUAUAAAAUAUUUAAUUAAAAACCAUUGGGGUUUUAAAAUGUAAUACAAGAUACCACAUAAAUUAUUCUCCAGUAGUUACGUGUUUAACCUUCGAGCAUUCAACACAACAUAUAUAGUAUGUAUAUAGUAGGUAUAUAGUAUGUAUCACGAGUACCUACGCCUUUAUCAAGCGUCUGAUAGCAACAUCAUAACUUCUCAGCUUGACAGGUAAUAUGAUUUCUAAUUUACCUGAGAACUUACUAAAAAUUAGCGCUUAAGAUUAAAAGGUCACUCUUCCAAGUCCAAAACUCCGACUAAAACAGCAUUAUUACAAACUUAAAAAAAAAAUAAACCAAACACAACAAUGAAAAUGGAUGCAAAAAAGUAUCAACGACAAAUAAACUUAAAACUACUCGCAUGGAAAGCCGUAAUCUAAAAUUAAUAACUCUGAAAUUCCACAAAUAAACUUGACAUAAUUUAACGAAUAUUUAUUGAGCGCUAAACGUAGUAAUGUUCAUAAUAAUCCAACUAUAGCAAAUUAUGGUACAUCUGAAUGUUAUGCUAGAGUAUUGACGCUCCUAUAUAGAUAUACAAUGUCGAUCCGUAGAUUCUGCUGGAGUCGUCGUUCUUGUUAUAUUUUAAAGCGUAGUAGUCAAUGGUGAUUUAUGCACCCGUCGGUAGUUAAACAGACACUUAUGGAACAGAUUCUACUUUGUACGUCGUGGAAGGUUAUUGAUACUACUUAAUUAACAAUUGUUACUUCUGGUUAUAUUAUAAUGUAGUGAUCGUCUAAUUGUCUUAUUUCGUAUAUUGAUAUAUUUCGAAUAAUUAUUGAUUACUGAAUAUUAAUUACUAUAUUGUGUCAGAUAUUCAUUUUUAUAAAUUUAACUCCAGUGUAUCUACAUUUUAAUUAUGAUUGAGUGGUUACUACGUUGGUGUCAAUAAAAUAUUCGAGUGUACUUACUAUUACUACCACCACCAAGACAAUAUAACUUUACCAACACCAAUAGUAAAUACAAUGUACUACUGUUAGAGUAUAAAGUAGGUGCAUCAGUCGCCUAACCUCAAAAAGACUACUCAACGUAGUUUAACUAUAAGAACCAUACAUCGCUAAAUUAAUAACAAAAAAAAAAAAUGUCAUUUGUUAGUUCAUAUUAUAGUGGUGAAGAAGAAUCGAUGGUUGAAAGCAAUAACGGUUAUAAUAAUGAAAGGAUCAAUAACGAGGUUGAACCAGUAAAAAAACAGAACAAAUGUAAAAAAAACAAAAGAGAUGUAAAAUCGAAUAAGAAUAAAACGAUGACUAAAAAAGUAUGUAAAAUUAAACAUUUACAAUAUGAAAAAAGAGGAUGUCACUCUGCAGUACAGUAGGUUACAAACGGAUGGAAAGAAGCUGAGCGCAUUCUUAAAAUAUCGAUAGCUGAUAAGGCGGAGGACUUGGAGCUUCAGAAUGAGUUGUCAGAGAUUGUUCAAGCAAUAUUUACACGUUUUAUGUUCGAUCCUAAGAGGAAGAUAGUAAGAUAUUAAAAUUACUAAAGGCUUAAUAAUGUAUUUAUUUAUGAUGUUAAAAAUGUAAAUAUAUUAUAUAAAUUAAAAUUAUUUAGAU